This 486-nucleotide ribosomal RNA is filed under the name uncultured bacterium. RNAcentral's name for it is "partial 16S ribosomal RNA". It matches the Rfam family "Bacterial small subunit ribosomal RNA", at positions 30 to 507 of the family's 1533-position model. The record is from RNAcentral.
AUUGAACGCUGGCGGCAUGCCUUACACAUGCAAGUCGGACGGCAGCACGGGUGCUUGCACCUGGUGGCGAGUGGCGAACGGGUGAGUAAUACAUCGGAACAUGUCCUGUAGCGGGGGAUAGCCCGGCGAAAGCCGGAUUAAUACCGCAUACGAUCUACGGAUGAAAGCGGGGGACCUUCGGGCCUCGCGCUAUAGGGUUGGCCGAUGGCUGAUUAGCUAGUUGGUGGGGUAAAGGCCUACCAAGGCGACGAUCAGUAGCUGGUCUGAGAGGACGACCAGCCACACUGGGACUGAGACACGGCCCAGACUCCUACGGGAGGCAGCAGUGGGGAAUUUUGGACAAUGGGCGAAAGCCUGAUCCAGCAAUGCCGCGUGUGUGAAGAAGGCCUUCGGGUUGUAAAGCACUUUUGUCCGGAAAGAAAUCCUUGGCCCUAAUACGGUCGGGGGAUGACGGUACCGGAAGAAUAAGCACCGGCUAACUACGUG